AGGGUGUAUUUCUACAUAUUAUACACAUAUGGAGUACACCUUAUUCUAAUUAGGAUCCCAUUCUUGUCCUUUGGGCAUAUGCCAAGGAAUGGGAUAACUGAUUCAAAUGGUGGUUCCAUUCCAGGUGUUCUGAGGAAUCUCCAGACUGCUUUCCAGAGUGGUUGCACCAAUUUGCAGUCCCACCAGCAAUGUAUGAGUGUACCUUUCCCCCCACAACCUUGCCGAUAUUUAUUGUUACUUGUAUACUUGAUAAUUGCUAUUCUGACUGGAGUGAGAUAAAAUCUCUGUGUAGUUUUAAUUUGCGUUUCUCUAAGUGCUAGAGAUGUUGAGCAUUUUUUCAUAUCUUUGUUGACUGAACGUAUUUCUUCUUUGUGAAGUGCCUGUUCUGUUCCUUUGCCAAUUUAUUGAUUGGGUUAUUUGUGUUUUUUGGGGUGUUAAGUUUUUUGAGUUCUUUAUAUAUCCUGGAGAUUAAUGCUGUCACUGAGAUUCAGGUGGCAAAGAUUUUCUCCCAUUCUGUACUUUCUCUCUUCACAUUCUUGAUUAUUUCCUUUUCUGUGAAGAAGCUUUUUAGUUUGAUACCAUUCCAUUUAUUGAUUUUUUUUUUUAUUUUACUUCUUGUGCUUUAGGAGUCUUGUUGGGGAAGUUGGUUCCUAAGCCCAUGAUGGAGAUUGAGCCUAUUUUUUCUGUUAGUAGGUGAAGGGUCUCUGGUCUAAUGCCUAGACCACUUGACUACUCUGAGCUGAGUUUUAUUCAGGGUGAGAGAUAGGGGUUAAAUUUCAUUCUGCUACAUGUGGAUUUCCAGUUUUCCCAGCGCUAUUUGGUGAAGAGGCUAUCUUCUCCAUUGCAUGUUUCUGGUGCCUUUGCUUAGUAUGAGUUAACUGUAUUUAUGUGGGUUUGUCUCUGUAUCUUCUAUUCUUCUAUUCAAGCCUGUUUUGGUGCCAAUACCAUGCUGUUUUUAUU
RNAcentral lists this long non-coding RNA (960 nucleotides) under Marmota monax (woodchuck). Lineage: Eukaryota; Metazoa; Chordata; Mammalia; Rodentia; Sciuridae. The record is from RNAcentral.